AUUUAAAUAGUUUAUUUAAAAUAUUGAUUUGUGGUGUCAAUGAUAUGAUUUUUGAUCAUUUUAAAUC
This 67-nucleotide transfer RNA is filed under the name Anastrepha ludens (Mexican fruit fly). RNAcentral's name for it is "tRNA-His". Lineage: Eukaryota; Metazoa; Arthropoda; Insecta; Diptera; Tephritidae. The record is from RNAcentral.